UGUUAAUUGAGGAUUGAAUUACCAAAAGCUUCAGCUGCUUGGUGAUGGCUGCAUUUUAAAUAAUGAAUUAGAUGCCCUCGGCUUCUACAGAGAGAAAUGUGUUAUGUUGGUAGAAGUAAAUGUUCUGAAAACUUACAUUUAGGCAUUCUAGAGACUUGUGAAAUGAGUAUUUCAGGCAACUGUGCCAUAGAUUCUUAUCAUCUACAUCUCUAUGCAAGCGAUUUACGUACUGGGGUCAGGUUAAUACCUUCAGAUUUCAUCUCUGAGGUGAAGAAACAUCAAACGUUACACAGAUCUAAGGAACAAAUUACAUCAAAAUUUAUACAGCCUCCAGUAAAGCUAAGGUGGACUGGACUCAACAAAUCCAGUGCAACCAACCUCCUAUGGAGAUUUUUGUAAACCUGGUGCCAAAGGACUUGGAUAACAACCGAACAGAACUUCUUCACAGCACUUCUCUGCUCCUUCACUGCUUUACCCUUGCCAAGGAUGAAGGAACGAAUAAAAAGCAAAGGAAUAUAUUUAGAGUGAAUGAG
This 533-nucleotide long non-coding RNA is filed under the name Anas platyrhynchos platyrhynchos (common mallard). RNAcentral's name for it is "lncRNA (ENSAPLG00000022396.1)". The record is from RNAcentral. Lineage: Eukaryota; Metazoa; Chordata; Aves; Anseriformes; Anatidae.